UACGUAGGGUGCAAGCGUUGUCCGGAUUUAUUGGGCGUAAAGAGCGUGUAGGCGGUUAGGUAGGUCCGUUGUGAAAACUCGAGGCUCAACCUCGAGACGCCGAUGGAAACCCCCUAACUAGAGUCCGGAAGAGGAGAGUGGAAUUCCUGGUGUAGCGGUGAAAUGCGCAGAUAUCAGGAAGAACACCCGUGGCUAAGGCGGCUCUCUGGGACGGUACUGACGCUGAGACGCGAAAGCGUGGGGAGCGAACAGG
This 253-nucleotide ribosomal RNA is filed under the name uncultured bacterium. RNAcentral describes it as "partial 16S ribosomal RNA". It matches the Rfam family "Bacterial small subunit ribosomal RNA", at positions 524 to 776 of the family's 1533-position model. The record is from RNAcentral.